Molecule: non-coding RNA, 21 nt
Filed under: Caenorhabditis elegans
Lineage: Eukaryota; Metazoa; Nematoda; Chromadorea; Rhabditida; Rhabditidae
Source: RNAcentral
UCCUACUAUCGGUCUAUUUCG